Echinops telfairi (small Madagascar hedgehog) is the source of this 102-nucleotide small nuclear RNA. The record is from Ensembl. NCBI's taxonomy places the organism in Eukaryota, Metazoa, Chordata, Mammalia, Afrosoricida, Tenrecidae.
AUAUAAUAAACAUAUAUAUAUUAAAAUUGGAACCGCAUGAGAAGACUAGCAUGGCAUCUGUGCAAAGCUGGCAAGCACAAAUAUUAAAUGUUCCAUACAUCU